This is a long non-coding RNA of Homo sapiens (human), 245 nucleotides long. RefSeq lists it as uncharacterized. The record is from RefSeq and is a predicted model, not a curated record. The transcript is spliced from 3 exons. NCBI's taxonomy places the organism in Eukaryota, Metazoa, Chordata, Mammalia, Primates, Hominidae.
GUUAGACUCUUCAUAGUAAUUAAGUAAAAGCUCCAGUUCAAAUUGACAUGGCUUUUACAGAAGGAGAAUUCAUUGACUCAGAGAGGCUAGAAGAGAAUGAAACUAGAUAUCCUCUAAUUGUGUGCCAGGUACUCGGUCAUUGUGCUUUGACGCCUGCCUCCAUAACCCUGUCCUGGAUCCAAUUAACCAGCUGUGAGCACUGCCCUGAAGACACAGACAAGAGCACCUACUCUCAGGGACCAGGG